UGGGGAAUUUUGCACAAUGGGGGAAACCCUGAUGCAGCGACGCCGCGUGAUUUAGAAGGCCUUCGGGUUGUAAAAAUCUUUUCUAUGGGAAGAAAAUGACAGUACCAUAGGAAUAAGGACCGGCUAAUUACGUGCCAGCAGCCGCGGUAAUACGUCAGGUCCGAGCGUUGUCCGGAAUCAUUGGGCGUAAAGGGUACGUAGGCGGGUAAGCAAGUUAGAAGUGAAAUCCUAUAGCUCAACUAUAGUAAGCUUUUAAAACUGCUCAUCUUGAGGUAUGGAAGGGAAAGUGGAAUUCCUAGUGUAGCGGUGAAAUGCGCAGAUAUUAGGAGGAAUACCGGUGGCGAAGGCGACUUUCUGGCCAUAACCUGACGCUGAGGUACGAAAGCGUGGGUAGCAAACAGG
This 402-nucleotide ribosomal RNA is filed under the name bacterium. Its description in RNAcentral is "partial 16S ribosomal RNA". It matches the Rfam family "Bacterial small subunit ribosomal RNA", at positions 355 to 776 of the family's 1533-position model. The record is from RNAcentral.